UAUUUCAAAUUACAAAACAAUUAAUAACAAAGUAGAUAAAUUCAAAGUAAUUUGCAUUUAUGCAUAUAUAUAUUUAAAACUUAUUCGAGAUAUAUACCGUUUUCUACGCAUUAUGCUUUUUACACACAACACUCACACACAUUAUUAGCAUUCUGUCGAUUUGUAAAAUAUAUAGAAAAAUUGGAGGACUUAAUUUUAUUAGUAGUUGAAGAGAACGUGGUGAUAAUUACACAGUUAAUUUGUUUAGCCGCGAAUCAUGGUAAAAAAUCGCGUGAAAUUGCAAAAAUGUCAACGACCAGUGUUGUUUCGUUUAUCUUUUUUCAUGCGAUAUCAGCGCAUGUCGACAAUAUGCUCAUGCAGAUGCACAAUUACAUCACGAUAAUCUUUGUAAACCGACAAUUACAUGAAUAAUGUGAAUAGACAUUGAGAAUGAACAUUUCAUCCGCUUUCAUCGGUUUGUUUAUUGAGUUUGUUAAGUUUAGGAUAAUGGAAAAAUCAGAUGAAGAAGUCUUGUUUAACGGAUGUAAUAAAAUUUUUUUUCUAACCUAGAGAAAUAAAAAAAUUAAUGUUUAAUAGUUUAAAGGUAUUAUAAAUAUCAAGAAUAUCUGAUGUUGCACAUUUUUCAAUCGAUUGUUCUUUAAUAAUAAUGACAUACAAAAGAAAGAGCAAAGAAUUUUCCAUAAUCGCAUAAAAGGAAAUGAUGCAUUCAUCGACUUAGAAUAUAUCCAAUAGCAAAAGAAGAAUUCCCAAUUUCAUCAGGUUUGUAUUAUAUUCUUCUAUCACUCUUCUUUUUCAUCUUUCAAUCGCGUAACGUUACUGCAAAGGUCGCACAGCUACAUCUACAGAUAUCUAAGAGGUAACGAGGAGUCAUUCUGACGCAAUAGGGAGACAACGCGAGUCACGAUCGGUCAAGAGAGUUUCCUAUUGAAAUACCGCUGAUGGACGAAAUUGCAUUUCCGCAACUAUCAUUUUUUUGAUCGUGAUACUUUGUCUCCAUCAAUAAGAAAAAUUAGCUAUAAGAUAUUUAUUCAUUCAUUCAAAAAUAUUGAAUGAAACAGGUGAGAAGAAUGUGAAAUGAAAGUCAAUAGAAGAUAAAAAAGUAUAUGGUGAUAAUUUUUUGUGAUUCUUCAUCAUUUUACCUUGACUAAGAGCUGUAGCUUUCUCUGUACAUUUUUAUUAUCCUUGCAAUAAUAGGAAGAAUUCUGUACUUGAACUAGAGAAAACAAAAUGUAUAUAUUUAAAAUUUUUUAUAUGUUUAUUAU
This is a long non-coding RNA of Apis mellifera (honey bee), 1262 nucleotides long. RefSeq lists it as uncharacterized. The record is from RefSeq and is a predicted model, not a curated record. Lineage: Eukaryota; Metazoa; Arthropoda; Insecta; Hymenoptera; Apidae. The transcript is spliced from 3 exons.